Molecule: ribosomal RNA, 460 nt
Filed under: uncultured bacterium
Lineage: Bacteria
Description: partial 16S ribosomal RNA
Rfam family: Bacterial small subunit ribosomal RNA
Source: RNAcentral
CCUACGUGAGUCAGCAGUGAGGAAUAUUGGUCAAUGGGCGCGAGCCUGAACCAGCCAAGUAGCGUGAAGGAUGACUGCCCUACGGGUUGUAAACUUCUUUUAUAAAGGAAUAAAGUGAGGCACGUGUGCCUUUUUGUAUGUACUUUAUGAAUAAGGAUCGGCUAACUCCGUGCCAGCAGCCGCGGUAAUACGGAGGAUCCGAGCGUUAUCCGGAUUUAUUUGGUUUAAAGGGCGCGUAGUUGGGUUGUUAAGUCAGUUGUGAAAGUUUGCGGCUCAACCGUAAAAUUGCAAUUGAUACUGGCAGGCUUGAGUACAGUUGAGGUAGGCGGAAUUCGUGGUGUAGCGGUGAAAUGCUUAGAUAUCACGAAGAACGCCGAUUGCGAAGGCAGCUUACUAAACUGCCACUGACAUUGAUGCUCGAAAGUGUGGGUAUCAAACAGGAUUAGAGACCCUUGUAGUC